ACGCGCAUGCGGGAGGGGCAGCAGCCGGCCGGGCCUGGGAACGUGGCUGGUUGGAGGAGGUGGAUCACCGUUUCUGCGGUGGACGAUUUCGUCGGUGGUAGGCUGCUACCAUGAGGUUGAAUCAGAACACCUUGCUGCUGGGGAAGAAGGUGGUCCUUGUACCCUACACCUCGGAGCAUGUGCCCAGCAGGUACCACGAGUGGAUGAAAUCAGAGGAGCUGCAGCGUUUGACAGCCUCAGAGCCGCUGACCCUGGAGCAGGAGUAUGCCAUGCAGCGCAGCUGGCGGGAAGAUGCAGACAAGUGUACCUUCAUUGUGCUGGAUGCCGAGAAGUGGCAGGCCCAGCCAGGCACCACUGAAGAGAGCUGCAUGGUGGGAGAUGUGAACCUCUUCCUCACGGAUCUAGAAGACCCCACCUUGGGGGAGAUCGAGGUCAUGAUUGCAGGUUUGUUUCACCUAGCCCUGCCUUCCCCCGACUCCUGGCUCUCAGAUCUGCUGACUGAGCCUGCCGAGGCCGCAUAGGGUGGGCACUCACAGGGUUCACUGGGAGGCUCCAUGUGGUGA
Molecule: small RNA, 563 nt
Filed under: Pongo abelii (Sumatran orangutan)
Lineage: Eukaryota; Metazoa; Chordata; Mammalia; Primates; Hominidae
Description: retained intron
Source: RNAcentral